RNAcentral lists this ribosomal RNA (492 nucleotides) under uncultured bacterium. Its description in RNAcentral is "partial 16S ribosomal RNA". It matches the Rfam family "Bacterial small subunit ribosomal RNA", at positions 29 to 507 of the family's 1533-position model. The record is from RNAcentral.
AGUGAACGCUGGCGGUAGGCCUAACACAUGCAAGUCGAACGGCAGCACAGUAAGAGCUUGCUCUUACGGGUGGCGAGUGGCGGACGGGUGAGGAAUACAUCGGAAUCUACUUUUUCGUGGGGGAUAACGUAGGGAAACUUACGCUAAUACCGCAUACGACCUACGGGUGAAAGCAGGAGAUCUUCGGACCUUGCGCGAUUGAAUGAGCCGAUGUCGGAUUAGCUAGUUGGCGGGGUAAAGGCCCACCAAGGCGACGAUCCGUAGCUGGUCUGAGAGGAUGAUCAGCCACACUGGAACUGAGACACGGUCCAGACUCCUACGGGAGGCAGCAGUGGGGAAUAUUGGACAAUGGGCGCAAGCCUGAUCCAGCCAUACCGCGUGGGUGAAGAAGGCCUUCGGGUUGUAAAGCCCUUUUGUUGGGAAAGAAAAGCAGCAGGUUAAUACCCCGCUGUUCUGACGGUACCCAAAGAAUAAGCACUGGCUAACUUCGUG